UACGAGAGCCCCGAGCGUUAUCCGGAAUUAUUGGGCGUAAAGGGUGCGUAGGUGGUUUUGUUAGUCGUUUGUUAAAUCUCUGGGCUUAACCUAGAAACUGUGAACGAAACGGCAAAACUUGAGAAUGUGAGAGGUAUAUGGAACUCAUGGCGUAGGGGUGAAAUCCGUUGAUAUCAUGGGGAACACCAAAAGCGAAGGCAAUAUACUAGCGCAUAUCUGACACUCAAGCACGAAAGCGUGGGUCGCGAAUGGG
Molecule: ribosomal RNA, 253 nt
Filed under: uncultured bacterium
Lineage: Bacteria
Description: partial 16S ribosomal RNA
Rfam family: Bacterial small subunit ribosomal RNA
Source: RNAcentral